GCACUGCUGAGGUGUCCCACAAUAGGACGAAACAGUCGUCUAGUGC
This 46-nucleotide non-coding RNA is filed under the name Schistosoma mansoni. Lineage: Eukaryota; Metazoa; Platyhelminthes; Trematoda; Strigeidida; Schistosomatidae. The record is from RNAcentral.